This 423-nucleotide ribosomal RNA is filed under the name Eremochelis undulus. RNAcentral describes it as "partial 16S ribosomal RNA". It matches the Rfam family "Archaeal large subunit ribosomal RNA", at positions 1991 to 2630 of the family's 2987-position model. The record is from RNAcentral. Lineage: Eukaryota; Metazoa; Arthropoda; Arachnida; Solifugae; Eremobatidae.
AAUGAAUUGUUUAAUAGCCGCAGUAUCUUGACUGUGCAAAGGUAGCAUAAUAAAUUGUCUUUUAAUUGGAGGCUGGAAUGAAUGAUGGGAUGUGAUAGGGGCUGUCUUUAUAAUAGGUGAUUGAAAUUUACUUUUUGAUGAGAAGGUUAAAAUUGGAUUGGUAGACGAGAAGACCCUAUCAAGCUUUAUUUGAGAUGAUGACUUUGUUCAUUUAAUCUGGUGAGCGGGUUAGCAUUUGAAUUUUGUUGGGGCAACACUUGAAUAUAUUAUAAUUUUUUGCUGUUUUAUUGGUGUUUGAUCCAUUAUUAAUGAUUGGUAGAAUAAGUUACUGUAGGGAUAACAGCGUAAUCAGUUUGGAGAGUUCAUAUUGGUAAAUUGGAUUGCGACCUCGAUGUUGGUUUAAUGAUUUUUAGGGUGCAGCAG